UACGGGGGGAGCAAGCGUUGUUCGGAUUUACUGGGCGUAAAGGGCGCGUAGGCGGUCGUGACAAGUCACUUGUGAAAUCUCCGGGCUUAACUCGGAACGGUCAAGUGAUACUGUCGGACUAGAGUACAGAAGGGGCAACUGGAAUUCUCGGUGUAGCGGUGAAAUGCGUAGAUAUCGAGAGGAACACCUGCGGCGAAGGCGGGUUGCUGGGCUGAUACUGACGCUGAGGAACGAAAGCCAGGGGAGCGAAUGGG
RNAcentral lists this ribosomal RNA (254 nucleotides) under uncultured bacterium. RNAcentral's name for it is "partial 16S ribosomal RNA". It matches the Rfam family "Bacterial small subunit ribosomal RNA", at positions 524 to 776 of the family's 1533-position model. The record is from RNAcentral.